CAUGACUGCAGGCUGGCUUUCCAAUCCAUUAGUGCCCUCCACAAGUCAAGUGUUGGACCACAGGAAAUGAAGAAGUAGAGCUUUGGUUUACAUAUGUUGACGUGAACAACUCAGUUGCACCCGUUAUGAGAGUAACUGCUCAGCUUAUGAUGAGUGAAUAGGUCAUCCAGCAAGAAACAGAAAACACAGAAAUGGACCUUCUUUGGGAGCAGGGUAGCAAGGUAUAACUCCGAUUUCAUUUAUAAUUUAAUAAUAAACAGCUGCAGACGCCAUGUCAGAUGAAAUAC
Molecule: long non-coding RNA, 287 nt
Filed under: Homo sapiens (human)
Lineage: Eukaryota; Metazoa; Chordata; Mammalia; Primates; Hominidae
Description: HSALNT0244637
Source: RNAcentral